CCAGACGAUCGCUGGGGGCGUUGGCCCCGAGAGGAAAGUCCGGACUCCAUAGGGCAUCGUAGCAGCUAACGGCUGUCCACCGCGAGGUGCGGAUUAGAGCAACAGAGACGAGCCGACUUCGGGUCGGGUGAAACGGGCAAUCUCUACGAGGAGCAACAUCAAAUAGGCUACCGAUAAUCCUGCCCGGAUUGGUAGCGGGUAGAUGGCUUGAGGCGAUAUGUGAGUAUCGUCCUAGAUGAAUGAUCGUCACAGCCUCAAGGGUAACUUGAGACUGAACAUAAUCCGGCUUACGG
This 293-nucleotide RNase P RNA is filed under the name uncultured Sutterella sp. Its description in RNAcentral is "Bacterial RNase P class A". It matches the Rfam family "Bacterial RNase P class A". Rfam says of the family: Ribonuclease P (RNase P) is a ubiquitous endoribonuclease, found in archaea, bacteria and eukarya as well as chloroplasts and mitochondria. Its best characterised activity is the generation of mature 5'-ends of tRNAs by cleaving the 5'-leader elements of precursor-tRNAs. Lineage: Bacteria; Pseudomonadati; Pseudomonadota; Betaproteobacteria; Burkholderiales; Sutterellaceae. The record is from RNAcentral.